RNAcentral lists this small nucleolar RNA (75 nucleotides) under Choloepus hoffmanni (Hoffmann's two-fingered sloth). Its description in RNAcentral is "Small nucleolar RNA SNORD113/SNORD114 family (ENSCHOG00000014483.1)". It matches the Rfam family "Small nucleolar RNA SNORD113/SNORD114 family". Rfam says of the family: The imprinted human domain at 14q32 contains two clusters of tandemly repeated small nucleolar RNAs named 14q(I) and 14q(II) snoRNAs. These two clusters are named SNORD113 and SNORD114 respectively in the HGNC approved gene symbol nomenclature. The snoRNAs found in both clusters are clearly related and are represented here by a single family. The record is from RNAcentral. Lineage: Eukaryota; Metazoa; Chordata; Mammalia; Pilosa; Megalonychidae.
UGGAUCAGCGAUGACAAACUGCGGCAUUUGAGUCAUGGAUGAUGCAUAAUAUGUGCAUGGAAGCCUGAGGUCACA